This is a long non-coding RNA of Girardinichthys multiradiatus, 830 nucleotides long. RefSeq lists it as uncharacterized. NCBI's taxonomy places the organism in Eukaryota, Metazoa, Chordata, Actinopteri, Cyprinodontiformes, Goodeidae. The transcript is spliced from 3 exons. The record is from RefSeq and is a predicted model, not a curated record.
GACUUCUUCAAACACAAACCCUUGAACGUAGUUGUCGAGAAAACCACGUCCAUUAGAGAACAAAGUGGACUUCUGGUUAUUAGAAUCCUCCUUGCACACUUCAGAGAAGAUGAAGGUGGACUUCUUAAGGUUUGCAGAUCUUGGUUGCAGCAUUCUCAAAACAGGUGGCCGCCCAACCAUCCGAGGCUCGAGCUACCAUCUCAGACGCGGAGUGGAUCCUUCUGGAAGUCGUCUCGGUGUGUGGUCAGAUCACAUGAGAGCUUCCCUGGUCCAGGUACUUUGAAUGACAUACAGCUGUCUCCGUGUGAUUUAUUCUAAUGUGUGUAAUUCCUCCAGGUUAUGGUGAAUAAACGAACGCGCAGAAGGCCUCUUUAAAGAGGUUCUUCAACAGGUCCCAACACCACCUUUUUCACCACCUACUACGUGUUUAACAAUCAGGAAGAGACAGUGUGCACAUUGGAGUUCGUUCAGAGGCGGUUCAUUGGCAUUAACCCUGAAAGAGGAACCAACUAAUGGACUCCUGUCGAAGUGUUUUGUUCCCUGGUCCUGAAAGCAUGCUGUCCUACAUUUUCUAAGUUUCCCUGCUUCAGCACAAUGGAUUGCAGUUAUUUGGCAGAUUAAUGGUCUCCUGUUGAAUCACAAUGGUCUGAAUAGGGUUCAGACCAAAGUUAUGUAGGACAAUGUGCCAUUAGGCUCUGAAGACAGAAGUCUGUCACUCAAUUGCACCUUUAAGAAGGACACAAGAAGAUGAAACAAAAAUCCUGCCUUACUUUGUAUGUUUAUUUGUGAUAUAGAAUUUGGUGGAAAUGUAAAAGAUUUAUGAAUAAAUA